UAAAAAGUUGGCACAAUUUCUUAAAAUCGAAGUUUCAUUCUUUUUUGUUUUGGGUACACAAGAGCCCUAUCUUAAAAUGAUAUUUGUCACAUUCGUACUUUAUUUGUUUAAAGGCAUUUGUCUUCAAGAUACAAGAAAACAAAGAUGUAUCUUUUGAUAUUCCAUAGCUCUAUGCAUCUGAGCUUACAACCCACACACUAAACACCAAAAUCUUUUGAAGGUUUAGAGAGAGAAAGAGAGAAAAAACGAGUAGAGAAAGAGAGAUGAGCUCAUUGUCAUUUGAUAUAGAAGAUGUAUUGAGA
RNAcentral lists this long non-coding RNA (302 nucleotides) under Amborella trichopoda. Its description in RNAcentral is "long non-coding RNA (ATRI_LNC005201)". The record is from RNAcentral. Lineage: Eukaryota; Viridiplantae; Streptophyta; Magnoliopsida; Amborellales; Amborellaceae.